Molecule: long non-coding RNA, 456 nt
Filed under: Camelus dromedarius (Arabian camel)
Lineage: Eukaryota; Metazoa; Chordata; Mammalia; Artiodactyla; Camelidae
Description: lncRNA (ENSCDRG00005012514.1)
Source: RNAcentral
CCCCGCCUCCGCCACCUCCCCGCCACCACCCACCUCCGGAAAGCAGAUUCACUGACAAAGCACCUCGCCCCGCAGGACUCCCCGCCCCGUGUGCACCCACCCGGAAUCCGAGCGUUCAUCGAUAGCGUUUGCUGGAAGCUUCGCGGAUCUACUAAGAGAAGAGGAAAAGCCUCAGGAUGGACAUUCGAAAGGUCAGGUCGUCCAGGGCUGGGCUGCAGAGAUCUUCCGCAGAAGACUUACCACCCUUGACACAUGGCCUCGGUGGAUUUUAUCCAAAUAGGGGUUGCUUCAGAGUUUAUUCAUGCAAAAGAAAGGAACCAAAGGAAAAGAAAAGAAAAGAAAGCCAGCCAGCCAGCCAGCCUACCUAGGAUGCCUGCUUCAGGAGUUUUUAAUUUGUGCUGAAGAAAUAUUAACACAGCUGUUUUCCCCAACCAUUCAUUGGGAUUUAAGUGGCAG